Molecule: long non-coding RNA, 1493 nt
Filed under: Cyanistes caeruleus (blue tit)
Lineage: Eukaryota; Metazoa; Chordata; Aves; Passeriformes; Paridae
Description: lncRNA (ENSCCEG00000012838.1)
Source: RNAcentral
CCGGGAGUUAUUUGUGUCAGGCGACCUCACUUCCUUCCUCCCCCCUCUUCCUCUGCCUCAGGGGCUGAGCGUGGACGCGGGAGCGCGGCCAGAGGGUUAUUUUAGUGCUGGCAUCGCUGAUCGCUCCACGGCCCUCCCCACCCACGGGACAAGGCCCUGCAGGAAGUGCCCGGGAAUAGCACUGCGGCCCGAGGAGGAGGAGGAGGAGGGGGAGGAGGAAGGCCCAGCGAGCCUGGAAAACCUACCUCGGAGCAGGACUUUGAUCUCUUGGGCUCCACACAGGAGUGCUCCUGGCGCUGGGAUCUCCAGUGGUGUGGGAAAGGGCACACGGCAUUUAUCGGGCAAACACCUUUUUUACCUCUGCCAGCCCACACGGGCUUCUGCGUGUACACCUGUCCCUCACCCUGCUCCACCCCCGGUGACACCAGGCUUUUCUCCAGGGUUUUGGAGAGGAAAAAAACGAAAGUAUCUCCAAAAUGAUAAGUCCGAGUAGCCAUUACUAUGAAAACUGGAGAAGGAAAUAAUUAAGGAGACUCUGAACUCCUGGUAACAAAGUUUCACCUGGCCUCCUGGCAUUAGUGACAGUGCAGUGCGCUCUCAAAAGUGAAAAUUAAAUGUAUUAAAUUCUGUUACCACCAGAACCAGUUCCUAAUUUUAUUUUCCCUAUGAGUGAACAACUCAGAUGAAAGGAGAAUUCUUCCCUUUCCACCUUCCAAAACAACACAGUGAGUAUUCACCUACAGCUCCCAAGCUUGAAUACACAGCUUUUUGCCUCUGAUAAAUAAUUAACAUUUUCCUUUAGAAGAGAAAAAAUGAACCUGAAAAUGAGGACCAGAGGCAGGGGAGAAGACGUCCCUCAGGCAGCAACAGCCUCAGCACACGUGAUGGCCCUGUCACACCACGGUGCCACAUUUGCUUGAGUGGCCAGGUGGACAUAGGAGCAGGAUGUGCUCCCAACACAUUCCCGACGUGCCAAGCUCCAUCCUGGCUCUUCCCACCAGGCCAGUGCUGACCCCAGAGGCCGAGGAUGCAGAGCCUCAUGCAGAGAGUGGAUGAUUCCAGCUGCGCUCCACUUUGGGAAGCUCACGGACGCCUUUGGGAGCGUCUGUUUGUGUUCCCUGCAUAUCCUACGUGCUACAACUCCAGGGCAUUUGGGACCUGUUCUUCUUGAUCCUGGGAGCCUUCCCGUGGGGGCAGGGACCUGCCUCCACAGUCAGUGCAAAUACAGUAAAAUAGCAAUAUAAAUCAAGGUAUAAAUUAAGGCAGCAGUUUUCCCCAAAAGACAAGUUUUUUAUUGAAUUGUUAUUUAUCUUAGGAAGACAAAUGCCAAGACAGUAACAACAGGGAGCACGGAUUCUGGAUUUCUAGUUGCAGUGAAAGUUUGUGAUUCCCUUUGGGGAUGAAGGUGCCCCACAGAGUCAGUGUGAUUUGGGGAAUGGCAGGGUACGAGGAGCUGAGCCCCAGCUCCUGAAUUCUCCCUUCUCAGGGCCAAA